GUCUACGACCAUACCACCCUGAACACGCCAGAUCACUUCUGAUCUCAGAAGCUAAGCAGGAUCAGGCCUGGUUAGUACUUGGGAGACCACCUAGAAAUACCGGGUGCUAUAGGCU
RNAcentral lists this ribosomal RNA (115 nucleotides) under Pteropus alecto (black flying fox). The record is from RNAcentral. Lineage: Eukaryota; Metazoa; Chordata; Mammalia; Chiroptera; Pteropodidae.